This 535-nucleotide ribosomal RNA is filed under the name human gut metagenome. RNAcentral's name for it is "bacterial SSU rRNA". It matches the Rfam family "Bacterial small subunit ribosomal RNA", at positions 8 to 542 of the family's 1533-position model. The record is from RNAcentral.
AGAGUUUGAUCCUGGCUCAGGAUGAACGCUGGCGGCGUGCCUAACACAUGCAAGUCGAACGGAGUUACUUUGGUGAAGUUUUCGGAUGGAUCUGAUUUAACUUAGUGGCGGACGGGUGAGUAAUGCGUGAGCAACCUGCCCUUCAGAGGGGGACAACAGUUGGAAACGACUGCUAAUACCGCAUAAUGUAUUCGGAAGGCAUCUUCUGGAUACCAAAGGAGAAAUCCGCUGAUGGAUGGGCUCACGUCUGAUUAGCUAGUUGGUGAGGUAACGGCUCACCAAGGCUGCGAUCAGUAGCCGGACUGAGAGGUUGAACGGCCACAUUGGGACUGAGAUACGGCCCAGACUCCUACGGGAGGCAGCAGUGGGGAAUAUUGGGCAAUGGGCGAAAGCCUGACCCAGCAACGCCGCGUGAAGGAAGAAGGCCUUCGGGUUGUAAACUUCUUUUACCAGGGACGAAGAAGUGACGGUACCUCGAAUAAGCCACGGCUAACUACGUGCCAGCAGCCGCGGUAAUACGUAGGUGGCAAGCGUU